UUACGGCCAUAUCACGUCGAAACACCGGUUUUCAUAAGAUCACCGAAGUUAAGCACCAUCGAGCUAGGUCAGUACUUAGAUGAGUGACCGUUUGAGAACGCCAGAUGCUGAAA
Molecule: non-coding RNA, 113 nt
Organism: Acanthosepion pharaonis
Lineage: Eukaryota; Metazoa; Mollusca; Cephalopoda; Sepiida; Sepiidae
Source: the annotation of a GenBank genome assembly